CAGUACCGUGAGGGAAAGGCGAAAAGAACCCCGGCGAGGGGAGUGAAAAAGAACCUGAAACCGUGUACGUACAAGCAGUGGGAGCCUCUUAAUGGGGUGACUGCGUACCUUUUGUAUAAUGGGUCAGCGACUUAUAUUCUGUAGCAAGGUUAACCGAAUAGGGGAGCCGAAGGGAAACCGAGUCUUAACUGGGCGUUAAGUUGCAGGGUAUAGACCCGAAACCCGGUGAUCUAGCCAUGGGCAGGUUGAAGGUUGGGUAACACUAACUGGAGGACCGAACCGACUAAUGUUGAAAAAUUAGCGGAUGACUUGUGGCUGGGGGUGAAAGGCCAAUCAAACCGGGAGAUAGCUGGUUCUCCCCGAAAGCUAUUUAGGUAGCGCCUCGUGAAUUCAUCUCCGGGGGUAGAGCACUGUUUCGGCAAGGGGGUCAUCCCGACUUACCAACCCGAUGCAAACUGCGAAUACCGGAGAAUGUUAUCACGGGAGACACACGGCGGGUGCUAACGUCCGUCGUGAAGAGGGAAACAACCCAGACCGCCAGCUAAGGUCCCAAAGUCAUGGUUAAGUGGGAAACGAUGUGGGAAGGCCCAGACAGCCAGGAUGUUGGCUUAGAAGCAGCCAUCAUUUAAAGAAAGCGUAAUAGCUCACUGGUCGAGUCGGCCUGCGCGGAAGAUGUAACGGGGCUAAACCAUGCACCGAAGCUGCGGCAGCGACACUAUGUGUUGUUGGGUAGGGGAGCGUUCUGUAAGCCUGUGAAGGUGUACUGUGAGGUAUGCUGGAGGUAUCAGAAGUGCGAAUGCUGACAUAAGUAACGAUAAAGCGGGUGAAAAGCCCGCUCGCCGGAAGACCAAGGGUUCCUGUCCAACGUUAAUCGGGGCAGGGUGAGUCGACCCCUAAGGCGAGGCCGAAAGGCGUAGUCGAUGGGAAACAGGUUAAUAUUCCUGUACUUGGUGUUACUGCGAAGGGGGGACGGAGAAGGCUAUGUUGGCCGGGCGACGGUUGUCCCGGUUUAAGCGUGUAGGCUGGUUUUCCAGGCAAAUCCGGAAAACCAAGGCUGAGGCGUGAUGACGAGGCACUACGGUGCUGAAGCGACAAAUGCCCUGCUUCCAGGAAAAGCCUCUAAGCAUCAGGUAACAUCAAAUCGUACCCCAAACCGACACAGGUGGUCAGGUAGAGAAUACCAAGGCGCUUGAGAGAACUCGGGUGAAGGAACUAGGCAAAAUGGUGCCGUAACUUCGGGAGAAGGCACGCUGAUAUGUAGGUGAAGCGACUUGCUCGUGGAGCUGAAAUCAGUCGAAGAUACCAGCUGGCUGCAACUGUUUAUUAAAAACACAGCACUGUGCAAACACGAAAGUGGACGUAUACGGUGUGACGCCUGCCCGGUGCCGGAAGGUUAAUUGAUGGGGUUAGCGGCAACGCGAAGCUCUUGAUCGAAGCCCCGGUAAACGGCGGCCGUAACUAUAACGGUCCUAAGGUAGCGAAAUUCCUUGUCGGGUAAGUUCCGACCUGCACGAAUGGCGUAAUGAUGGCCAGGCUGUCUCCACCCGAGACUCAGUGAAAUUGAACUCGCUGUGAAGAUGCAGUGUACCCGCGGCAAGACGGAAAGACCCCGUGAACCUUUACUAUAGCUUGACACUGAACAUUGAGCCUUGAUGUGUAGGAUAGGUGGGAGGCUUUGAAGUGUGGACGCCAGUCUGCAUGGAGCCGACCUUGAAAUACCACCCUUUAAUGUUUGAUGUUCUAACGUUGGCCCGUAAUCCGGGUUGCGGACAGUGUCUGGUGGGUAGUUUGACUGGGGCGGUCUCCUCCUAAAGAGUAACGGAGGAGCACGAAGGUUGGCUAAUCCUGGUCGGACAUCAGGAGGUUAGUGCAAUGGCAUAAGCCAGCUUGACUGCGAGCGUGACGGCGCGAGCAGGUGCGAAAGCAGGUCAUAGUGAUCCGGUGGUUCUGAAUGGAAGGGCCAUCGCUCAACGGAUAAAAGGUACUCCGGGGAUAACAGGCUGAUACCGCCCAAGAGUUCAUAUCGACGGCGGUGUUUGGCACCUCGAUGUCGGCUCAUCACAUCCUGGGGCUGAAGUAGGUCCCAAGGGUAUGGCUGUUCGCCAUUUAAAGUGGUACGCGAGCUGGGUUUAGAACGUCGUGAGACAGUUCGGUCCCUAUCUGCCGUGGGCGCUGGAGAACUGAGGGGGGCUGCUCCUAGUACGAGAGGACCGGAGUGGACGCAUCACUGGUGUUCGGGUUGUCAUGCCAAUGGCACUGCCCGGUAGCUAAAUGCGGAAGAGAUAAGUGCUGAAAGCAUCUAAGCACGAAACUUGCCCCGAGAUGAGUUCU
RNAcentral lists this ribosomal RNA (2331 nucleotides) under human gut metagenome. RNAcentral describes it as "bacterial LSU rRNA". It matches the Rfam family "Bacterial large subunit ribosomal RNA", at positions 496 to 2812 of the family's 2925-position model. The record is from RNAcentral.